RNAcentral lists this ribosomal RNA (484 nucleotides) under uncultured bacterium. RNAcentral's name for it is "bacterial SSU rRNA". It matches the Rfam family "Bacterial small subunit ribosomal RNA", at positions 28 to 526 of the family's 1533-position model. The record is from RNAcentral.
GACGAACGCUGGCGGCGUGCUUAACACAUGCAAGUCGAACGGAAAGGCCCCUUCGGGGGUGCUCGAGUGGCGAACGGGUGAGUAACACGUGGGUGAUCUGCCCUGCACUUCGGGAUAAGCUUGGGAAACUGGGUCUAAUACCGGAUAGGACCACAUGCUGCAUGGUGUGUGGUGGAAAGUUUUUAACGGUGUGGGAUGGGCCCGCGGCCUAUCAGCUUGUUGGUGGGGUGAUGGCCUACCAAGGCGACGACGGGUAGCCGGCCUGAGAGGGUGUCCGGCCACACUGGGACUGAGAUACGGCCCAGACUCCUACGGGAGGCAGCAGUGGGGAAUAUUGCACAAUGGGCGCAAGCCUGAUGCAGCGACGCCGCGUGAGGGAUGACGGCCUUCGGGUUGUAAACCUCUUUCAGCAGGGACGAAGCGAGAGUGACGGUACCUGCAGAAGAAGCACCGGCCAACUACGUGCCAGCCGCCGCCGUAAAAC